UACGGGAGGCAGCAGCUAAGAAUCUUCCGCAAUGGGCGAAAGCCUGACGGAGCGACGCCGCGUGAACGAAGAAGGCCGUGAGGUUGUAAAGUUCUUUUCGGGAGGGGGAAUGACCGUGGCAGGGAAUGGCCGCGGGAUGACGUGAAUCCCGGAAUAAGCCCCGGCUAACUACGUGCCAGCAGCCGCGGUAAYACGUAGGGGGCGAGCGUUGUUCGGAAUCAUUGGGCGUAAAGGGCGUGCAGGCGGCACUGCAAGUCCGGCGUGAAAGACCCCGGCCCAACCGGGGGGGUGCGCUGGAAACUGCGGUGCUUGAGUACAGGAGGGGAUGCCGGAAUUCCAGGUGUAGGGGUGAAAUCUGUAGAUAUCUGGAAGAACACCGAUGGCGAAGGCAGGCAUCUGGCCAUGUACUGACGCUGAGACGCGAAGGUGCGGGGAGCAAACAGGUUUAGAUACCCUGGUAGUCCGCACAGUAAACGAUGUGCACCAGGUGGCGGGGGUAGAACCCUCGGUACCGUAGCAAACGCAUUAAGUGCACCGCCUGGGGAGUAUGCUCGCAAGGGUGAAACUCAAAGGAAUUGACGG
This 582-nucleotide ribosomal RNA is filed under the name uncultured spirochete. RNAcentral's name for it is "bacterial SSU rRNA". It matches the Rfam family "Bacterial small subunit ribosomal RNA", at positions 340 to 916 of the family's 1533-position model. Lineage: Bacteria; Pseudomonadati; Spirochaetota; Spirochaetia; Spirochaetales. The record is from RNAcentral.